UACGAACUGUGCAAACGUUAUUCGGAAUCACUGGGCUUAAAGGGUGCGUAGGCGGCUAUUUAAGUAGGGUGUGAAAGCCCGCAGCUUAACUGCGGAAUUGCGCUCUAAACUGGAUGGCUUGAGUGAGAUAGGGGUGUGUGGAACUUCCGGUGGAGCGGUGAAAUGUGCUGAUAUCGGAAGGAACGCCGGUGGCGAAAGCGACACACUGGGUCUUAACUGACGCUGAGGCACGAAAGCCAGGGUAGCGAACGGG
RNAcentral lists this ribosomal RNA (253 nucleotides) under uncultured bacterium. Its description in RNAcentral is "partial 16S ribosomal RNA". It matches the Rfam family "Bacterial small subunit ribosomal RNA", at positions 524 to 776 of the family's 1533-position model. The record is from RNAcentral.